GGAAGACACGCCCGAGUUCGGGUCAGCGAGAGCCUUCUCAAGCCCUGGAAUGUAUGACCAGUUGGUCUGCAGGCCCGUCGCGACGACCAGAGACUCGUAACCAAUCUUGCGCCCUGAUGCUGUAGUGAGCGAGUUGGUCUUAGGCUCAAACGCCUUGACAUUCUCAGGAAUGAGGGCGAGAUGCGACGGGAUGAGCGAGCUGAGCCUCCGGCGCGUGUCUUC
This 222-nucleotide unclassified non-coding RNA is filed under the name Hevea brasiliensis (rubber tree). The record is from RNAcentral. Lineage: Eukaryota; Viridiplantae; Streptophyta; Magnoliopsida; Malpighiales; Euphorbiaceae.